Long non-coding RNA from Gallus gallus (chicken), 4147 nucleotides. NCBI's taxonomy places the organism in Eukaryota, Metazoa, Chordata, Aves, Galliformes, Phasianidae. The record is from Ensembl.
UGGGGCUUGUAGAUCCAUGGUAGAUGAUACUAAAGAUAUAACAAACUAACAAAUACUAGUUUAAUUUCAAGAUGCUACUUAGAGAUUGGUGGUCAGAUGCCAACAUCUCAUGUGAGCUCAGUUACAGAAGACAGAAUUUAUAAACAGGGAAAGACACCAAUAAGUAUCAGAGCCAGAUUCAGCCCUGAUGUCCAGGUGGGUAAACUCCACUCCUCUGAGGGGCAGGCAGAAUGCAGAGGGUGAGAUUGAUUCCUCCAAAUGACAGCAUCAUGCUUGUGGCAGAAAAUAAGAAUCAGUGCAGGGGCUUUAGCACAGGAAUCAUCCAUCCAACUUGAAAGCAUUGGACCAGUGGGACUCAGAUGCUGUUGUGACAAGGAGAAGGAAGAAGCACAGUACAAGCAGGGGAGCACCUGGUAUAAAGAAGGAGUGAAGGGAAGAGAAGAGACAAAGAUUUUCUAGGAAAAGAAAGAACAGAGCUAAUGGAAGGAAGAGAGAGCAGAGAGAGGUAGGUUUCAUUUUCUUUGGUGAGGAAAGUGAAAGCAAUGCUAUCUGGGAAGAGGAAAAUGACUGGAAGAGAAAGCAUGUGAAGAGGCAUACCUCAGGACUCGUAGUAGCUUUAUUUGUUUCUCACUGAAAUAAACAGUGGUUGGGAUUUUUGAUUGAUAGGAAGGGCAUUCUUGCUAUCCUCUCGUAACUCCCCAAAAGCUCAAGAGAUUUUGCAGAAUGUUCUGGCAUGGAGUAACUCCAUAAAAAACACUCAUUGCCCCAAAUGGAGUAUUUUGGAAAUAUGCAUGUGUGCUGUGCGUGGGGAACCACGGGGCUGGGAUGGAAGCUGCUCUGUAAUCUUAGCUCUCGUGGCAAAAGCUGCUCCCACAGGGCCGUGUGAUGUGGGCGCAUGCAAGCUGAGUUACAAGCCUCCAUGGAUGCAGCUUAUUGUUACAAAAAAUCUCGUGGCAAAAGUUGGUUAACUCUUCCUGUAACGUUUGACAGUGGCUUUGCAGGAUCUUUCAAGAGUUUUCAGCCCACCUACUUUACAAAAUAAAGCUAAGUAGUCAGCAGAGCGCAAUAGAAAUCGACCAUACCCUAAGGUGCAUUAAGUAAGUCCAGCACUGCCAGAUGGGUGAGGACAGGGACUGUCCCACUCUGCUCUGUGCUGGUGUGGCCUCACCUCAAGCACUGAGUGCAGUUUUGGGUGCCACAGCAUAAGAAGGGUGUAAAACUAUUAAUAAAUCCAAAGGAAUGCUACAAAGAUGAGAAAGGGUCUGGAAGACAAGAUGUUUGAGGAGCUGCUGAGGGCCCUGAGCAGAGCAGGCCGAGGGGAGGCCUCAAGGCCCUGCAGCUCCUCACAGGGAGCAAAGGGGCAGCGCUCAGCCCUGCUCUCUGUGCCCGAGGGAACGGCGUGGAGCUACGUCAGAAGAGGGUCGGGUGGUGGUUAGAGAAAGGCUCUGCAGCAGAGGGCGAUGGGAAUGAAACGCACUCCGCAGGGCCGUGGGCGAAGGUCCGAGCUGCUGGAGCUCAGGAAGCGUUUGGGUUUGGGUGGUGCUGUGUGGAGCCAGGGGUUGGACUCGAUGAUCCUUGUGGGCCCCUUCUAACUCGGGAUAUUCCAUGGUUCGAUGAUUCUACGACAAGCACUGAGCAGCUCGCAGCGCUGCAGACCGCCCUGUGCCUGCGGGACGCGCCGCCAGGGGACACUCCCGAGCCCCGCAGCGCUCAGCCGAGGGUCUCGCUGCCGACAGCAGCCCGAGCUCUGGGUCGCGCAGCAGCAGCGCUGUGAGCAGCCCGCAUAGCACCAGCUACCCUUUGCUUCUCACGAGAAAAACUAGAAAGCAGGAUUUGCUGACAUUGGGUACACACCCUUGGACUAAGCUGCCUAUAAAGCUGUUUGUUUAAGCGUGAUAGUAGCACGGGCACUUUUUAUUAAGGGGAGAAAUGUUUCGGCUGGUUGAAUGGUUAGGGCAAUAACCUUGUUUUUCUCUGCUUUAGAGUUUUGCUAUAUUUACACAAGUGUAGUGCCUUGAAAAACAAAACAAAAGAAAACCACACACCUUUGUUUUAAGCCUGCCUGGCAACGGAAGGGUGUAGAAAGCAUGGAUAAACAGAGAGCAAAAAUGUUUAUGCAGUGCUGCUUGCUAAGUGUAGCUGAGUAUAUAAUUACCUAAAUGUGAAAUGACGUUCAUAGAUGACAACAUGGUACCUGAAAUUGACCGUAUUCUGUUACAGAAGGAUGCAUCUUCUUCCUUUCGGGACUAAGACAGGUAUGGAACUGCAGGAUGCGUUAGUUAGCAAUCAGUCUGAAUGGGCUGGCAUGGCUUCCAGCGACUCAGAGCAACUCCACGGAGCUGAACGAUGAGCCUACGCAUUUUAUGAGUUUAAACAGUAAGCAGAGACUGAGCCCUAAUUCUCUAGACUUGUGGUGUGACCAGAAACCACCUCCUUUUCUGCUUCUGAUUUCCCUCAGCAGUAAGGAAAACCGAGCUACAAGAACAAUAUUUCACCAACCAUUUCUUCUAAAAGUAUUCUAAUAAAAACAUCCUGAAACUAGCAUUCAACUACUUCCUUUUUUUAAGUUUUUCUUUCUUUCUGAUUUUAAGAUGGUGGUUUUAAAGCAGUAGUUUUAAUCUAAAUUACAGAGCAACAAGAAGAAUGAAUGUUACUAUUCAAAAUAAAAAAAAGUAUACUUAAAUUGGCAUCUAACUUAUGAUUAAAUUACCAGCCCAAUUAGUUACUGAAUUUAUAGCAGUUCUUCCCUUAAUUUAUCAUUAAAUGACAGGUAAAAUGUCCAUAAAGCAAAUUCUGGGCUUUUAAAAUUCUAAAUAUAAACAACAAAAAACCAAAAAAGUACCUGGACAGCUUUUCAGUGCCUCUGAGAUACUGGGGAAUAGAGCAGAUAGCAGUUUAGGUUUAAUUUAUUUUGUCUGCCUCCAUCUGUGCACACUGUGCUGCUGGCUUGUUGCAAUGCUUGAUUUGUUAUUUUAUACCUCUAUGUAUGAAGGUCACUUACUCUACUUAUGUUUUCACUUACAGGACUUCAUUCGUUUCGCAAACCACUACUGCAAGGAUGAUAGAAAAGUCUGUUGAAAGAUAUAAAAUCCCUAUGAUACAAAGGUGGCAGUGAUUAUUCUCACACUGCGACUAUUGGGAGGAAAUUUCCCUGGGUUGAUUUUGGACACUGUGCUCCUGGAAUGACAUCUUUGGUAGAUUAGCAGAAAUACAGGUUGCAACUUACCAAAAGACUUUUGUUAACAGGGUGCAAAUAUAAUUAUAUUUCUUUUUCCAUCACCUUUGAGAACUCAAGCAUUCCUACACACUUUCAAGCCCAGCAAAGUACUUUAGAGCUGGUUAAUAUCCUGAAGAUCAGGCUAUAACACUGUCUAAUAUUUUGGUUUGCUGGUGGCUUUCUUCUGUAUUGUUUCACACUUGCUGUCAGCACAGGUUUAUGAAUAAGGAAAGCCACACUGGUUUACACUUGUGGAGGUCUGAUAAAAGUGCUUGGCAUGGAUUUUUCUUCAGUUAUGCCCCAACAUACCCUGUCUGCAUAGCUCUUCUAAUGUGACCUGAACUGUGGUCAGUGAGGAAGGAGCAGCUUUUCACUAUUUGUAUAGUGUUUGUAUCAAGUAGUUACCUGGACAGUGGGUAAGGCCCUUUUCUAACAUCAGAGACAGGCACUGCAGAUGUCAGUGAGGCUGAAGAUGGAGAACCCUGGGCUUGCUGUGUUACUGAAUUGUUCUUUUCCAUUUGGACAGCUGUGACCUGAUUAGCUAUCAGAUAUCCUUUCUGCAUGGCAAAAUUUGCAACCGUGUAUCUACAAAAAAACCAUUGCAACUAUUAGAUCUUACUUUUCCUACCUACUUCCCUACAGGUUUGUGUUAAAAAACGGUCAUCCUCUUAGAACUGCCUGUACCUUACCUUGAGUACUCAUAGGUAGAGAAUAGCACGUGCUCCUCGUGUCCCUUAGUCACGUUAGCCAACUCACACAUGAAAGUGAAGUAGAGCUGAAUGUGAUGCCCAGGGCUUUGCCUUUCCAGUUGUUCUCUUGAGUACUCAGUGCUCCUCUGAUGCCUUUUUUAAAAAAGGUUUGAAAAUAAGUGCAAGAUUAAACAGGACUUCAAUAGCAAGUAUCUAUUUGACACUAGGAAUUAUUUCUGCC